GUCUCCUACGGGAGGCAGCAGUGGGGAAUAUUGGGCAAUGGGCGCAAGCCUGACCCAGCAACGCCGCGUGAAGGAAGAAGGCCCUCGGGUUGUAAACUUCUUUUAACAGGGACGAAGAAAGUGACGGUACCUGUUGAAUAAGCCACGGCUAACUACGUGCCAGCAGCCGCGGUAAUACGUAGGUGGCAAGCGUUAUCCGGAUUUACUGGGUGUAAAGGGCGUAUAGGCGGGAGAGCAAGGCAGACGUGAAAUUCCAGGGCUCAAACCUGGAACUGCGGUUUAAAAUGUUCUUCUUGAGUGAUGGG
RNAcentral lists this ribosomal RNA (305 nucleotides) under uncultured bacterium. RNAcentral describes it as "bacterial SSU rRNA". It matches the Rfam family "Bacterial small subunit ribosomal RNA", at positions 334 to 653 of the family's 1533-position model. The record is from RNAcentral.